UAUGGUACUCAAAACUACCUCCACAGAUGCAUGAUAUAAAUUUAGUCCAAACAAGAUAAAAGGAGUUAAACAGUAAUAUUGUUAGACCUACCUCAACCCUUUUCCUCUCUAGUAAUUUCGAUGAAAGGGAGUUGGUAUGGUCCCAACAA
Hibiscus syriacus is the source of this 149-nucleotide long non-coding RNA. RefSeq lists it as uncharacterized. NCBI's taxonomy places the organism in Eukaryota, Viridiplantae, Streptophyta, Magnoliopsida, Malvales, Malvaceae. The record is from RefSeq and is a predicted model, not a curated record. The transcript has 3 exons.